This 69-nucleotide transfer RNA is filed under the name Sphaerodactylus townsendi. RNAcentral describes it as "tRNA-Val". The record is from RNAcentral. Lineage: Eukaryota; Metazoa; Chordata; Lepidosauria; Squamata; Sphaerodactylidae.
GCCAUGGCUCAGUGGAAGAUCUUCUGCUUGACAUGCAGAUGGUCCCAGGUUUGAUCCCCAGCAUCUCCA